This 443-nucleotide ribosomal RNA is filed under the name uncultured bacterium. RNAcentral describes it as "partial 16S ribosomal RNA". It matches the Rfam family "Bacterial small subunit ribosomal RNA", at positions 338 to 795 of the family's 1533-position model. The record is from RNAcentral.
CCUACGGGUGGCAGCAGUGGGGAAUAUUGGGCAAUGGGCGCAAGCCUGACCCAGCAACGCCGCGUGAAGGAAGAAGGCCUUCGGGUUGUAAACUUCUUUUCUCAGGGACGAAGAAAGCGACGGUACCUGAGGAAUCAGCCACGGCUAACAACGUGCCAGCCGCCGAGGUAAUACGUAGGCGGAAGGCGUGAUGCGGAUUUACUGGGUGUAAAGGGCGGGGAGGCGGGGACGCAAGUCAGAUGUGAAACCUCGGGGCUAAACCCCGAGGCUGCAUGUGAAACUGUGUGGCUGGAGGGCUGGAGAGGCAGGCGGAAGUCCGGGUGUAGCGGUGAAAUGCGUAGAUAUACGGAGGAACACCGGUGGCGAAGGCGGAUUGCUGGACAGUAACUGACGCUGAGGCGCGAAAGCGUGGGGAGCAAACAGGAUUAGAUACCCGGGUAGUC